GGAAGGAUCAUUAAAAAGAUUAGAGGUUUUACAACCUUUUAUUCUUGUGAACUGGGUUCUUUUGAACCGUUAUUUUGAUGUUUGUAAUUUUGUUUUAGUGUUAAAUCACAUUGACAACUUUCAGCAAUGGAUCUCUUGGCUCUUGCAUCGAUGAAGAACGCAGCGAAACGCGAUAUGUAAUGUGAAUUGCAGAUUUGUGACUCAUCGAAAUUUUGAACGCACAUUGCACUUGCUGGUAUUCCGGCAAGUAUGCUUGUUUGAGUGUCUGUAUGUUUUACUCACCUUUAUGGUGGAUUUGGUCUUGGGAAUUUCCCUUGGCUUGAAUACAGUCAGUGAGUUUUUCCUCGAGGAAAGCUUGCAAAUUGAUCUAGUCAACUGAUUUGAUUAUUUUGCAUGUUGGAUUCUUGGAGAGUGUUACUGUCCAACUCUUUUUACACCCUUAAAAGUGUAUCUGUACAAAUUGGACCUCAAAUCAAGCAAGGCUACCUGCUGAACUUAAGCAUAUUAAUAAGCAGAGGAAAAGAAACUAACAAGGAUUCCCGAGUAAUGGCGAAUGAAACGGGAACAGCCCAAAUUUGAAAUCUCUGGCCCUUGGUCAGCGAAUUGUAAUUUGUAGAAAAAGUUGUCCGAGGCUAAAACUUGCUCAAAGUCCAUUGGAACAUGGCGGGCUUCGGCUCAUAAUGUCACAGAGGGUGAAAACCCCGUUCUUGAGCUUGCUUCUAGUCUCAUUGUGUCACUUUUUCAAAGAGUCGGAUUGUUUGGGAAUGCAAUCCAAAAUGGGUGGUAAACUCCAUCCAAGGCUAAAUAUUAGCAAGAGACCGAUAGCGAACAAGUACCGUGAGGGAAAGAUGAAAAGAACUCUGAAGAGAGAGUUAAAUAGUACGUGAAAUUGCUGAAAGGGAAACGUUUGAAACGAUUGUUGCCUUGUGUUUUUCGGAAUGCCUGGCAAGUCAACAGCAGUUUUUUGUGGCACAGAAAGAAUGAGAAAGGUAGCUUGGGGUUUCGGCCUCAGUGUUAUAGUCUUUUUCCAAAGUGUUGCGAAAGACUGAGGAACUGCUUCAUGGGAUGAAUGUGCGAGUUUGUUGUUGGGGUCAUUGGUAGACCUCGGUCCUUGUGGCCGAGACUGCAAGUGGCCACGGCGAGUAUACUAGUAGGUUCUAAAUGUUACAGGUUGUUGACAAAAUGGUUUUAAACGACCCGUCUUGAAACACGGACCAAGGAGUGCAACAAGUAUGCGAGUCGUAGGGUGAAAAACCUGAAGGCGCAAUGAAAGUGAUAAUGUACCAAGCUGUAAAAGGCUUCAGUACAGCCCAGUCUUGCAGCUUAACGCUAAAGGAUCUGAGGUAGAGCAUAUUUGCUGCGACCCGAAAGAUGGUGAACUAUGCCUGCAUAGGGCGAAGCCAGAGGAAACUCUGGUGGAGGCUCGUAGCGAUUCUGACGUGCAAAUCGAUCGUCAAAUGUGGUAUAGGGGCGAAAGACUAAUCGAACCAUCUAGUAGCUGGUUUCCAC
RNAcentral lists this unclassified non-coding RNA (1509 nucleotides) under uncultured fungus. RNAcentral describes it as "sequence contains 18S rRNA gene, ITS1, 5.8S rRNA gene, ITS2, 28S rRNA gene". The stretch from base 463 to 1509 matches the Rfam family "Eukaryotic large subunit ribosomal RNA", at positions 1 to 961 of the family's 3401-position model. Lineage: Eukaryota; Fungi. The record is from RNAcentral.